AUUGAACGCUGGCGGAAGGCCUAACACAUGCAAGUCGAACGAGUGGCAGACGGGUGAGUAAUGUCUGGGAAACUGCCUGAUGGAGGGGGAUAACUACUGGCAACGGUAGCUAAUACCGCAUACCAUCGGAUGUGCCCAGAUGGGAUUAGCUAGUAGGUGGGGUAAAGGCUCACCUAGGCGACGAUCCCUAGCUGGUCUGAUAGGAUGACAAGCCACACUGGACAUGAGAAACGGUCCAGACUUCUACGGGAGGCAGCAGUGGGGAAUAUUGCACGAGGGGCGCAAGUCUGAUGCAGCCAUGCCGAGGGUAUGAAGAAGGCCGUGGGGUUUUAAAGUACUUUCAGCUGGGAGGCGUGACCCGCAGAAGAAGCACCGGCUAACUCCGUGCCAGCAGCCGCGGUAAUAC
RNAcentral lists this ribosomal RNA (406 nucleotides) under uncultured bacterium. RNAcentral describes it as "partial 16S ribosomal RNA". It matches the Rfam family "Bacterial small subunit ribosomal RNA", at positions 30 to 526 of the family's 1533-position model. The record is from RNAcentral.